Molecule: unclassified non-coding RNA, 406 nt
Filed under: soil metagenome
Description: partial contains 5.8S ribosomal RNA, internal transcribed spacer 2, and large subunit ribosomal RNA
Rfam family: 5.8S ribosomal RNA (bases 1-121)
Source: RNAcentral
GAUGAAGAACGUAGCGAAAUGCGAUAAGUAAUGUGAAUUGCAGAAUUCAGUGAAUCAUCGAAUCUUUGAACGCACCUUGCGCCCUUUGGCAAUUCCGAAGGGCAUGCCUGUUUGAGUAUCAUGAACACCUCAACUCUUCAUGGUUUUCCGUGAUGAGCUUGGACUUUGGGGGUCUUGCUGGCCUAUGGUCAGCUCCUCUAAAAUAAAUCAGCUUGCCAGUGUUUGGUGGGUAUCACAGGUGUGAUAACUAUCUACGCUUGUGGUUUUCCACCAGGUAACCUUCAGCAGUGGAGGUUCGCUGGAGCUCACAGAUGUGUCUCUCCUCAGUGAGGACAGCUCUUUGAAUGUUUGAUCUCAAAUCAGGUAGGACUACCCGCUGAACUUAAGCAUAUCAAUAAGCGGAGGA